RNAcentral lists this unclassified non-coding RNA (205 nucleotides) under soil metagenome. RNAcentral describes it as "partial contains 5.8S ribosomal RNA, internal transcribed spacer 2, and large subunit ribosomal RNA". The record is from RNAcentral.
AACACUGUUAACCUGCGGUACCUGCGGAAGGAUCAUUACCGAGUUUACAACUCCCAAACCCCUGUGAACAUACCUAUACGUUGCCUCGGCGGAUCAGCCCGCGCCCUGUAAAAAGGGACGGCCCGCCCGAGGACCCUAAACUCUGUUUUUAGUGGAACUUCUGAGUAAAACAAACAAAUAAAUCAAAACUUUCAGCAACGGAUCU